GACGAACGCUGGCGGCGUGCUUAACACAUGCAAGUCGAACGGAAAGGCCCUGCUUUUGUGGGGUGCUCGAGUGGCGAACGGGUGAGUAACACGUGAGUAACCUGCCCUUGACUUUGGGAUAACGUCAGGAAACUGGGGCUAAUACCGGAUAGGAGCUCCUGCUGCAUGGUGGGGGUUGGAAAGUUUCGGCGGUUGGGGAUGGACUCGCGGCUUAUCAGCUUGUUGGUGGGGUAGUGGCUUACCAAGGCUUUGACGGGUAGCCGGCCUGAGAGGGUGACCGGCCACAUUGGUACUGAGAGACGGCCCAGACUCCUACGGGAGGCAGCAGUGGGGAAGAUUGCACAAUGGGCGGAAGCCUGAUGCAGCAACGCCGCGUGGUGGAUGACGGCCUUCGGGGUGUAAACCGCUUUCGCCUGUGACGAAGCGUGAGUGACGGUAAUGGGUAAAGAAGCACCGGCUAACUACGUG
This 468-nucleotide ribosomal RNA is filed under the name uncultured bacterium. Its description in RNAcentral is "partial 16S ribosomal RNA". It matches the Rfam family "Bacterial small subunit ribosomal RNA", at positions 28 to 507 of the family's 1533-position model. The record is from RNAcentral.